CAGCAGCCGCGGUAAUACCGGCGGCCCGAGUGGCGGUCACUAUUAUUGGGCUUAAAGCGUCCGUAGCCGGGUUGGGAAGGCCUCCGGGAAAUCUGGCCGCUUAACGGUCAGAAUGCCGGAGGAUACUCCCAGCCUAGGGAGCGGGAGAGGCCGAGGGGAUUCCCGGGGUAGGGGGGGAAUCCUAUAAUCCCGGGAGGACCACCGGUGGCGAAGGCGCUCGGCUGGAACGCGUCCGACGGUGAGGGACGAAGGCCAGGGGAGCAAACCGGAUUAGAUACCCGGGUAGUCCUGGCUGUAAACGAUGCGGACUUUGUGUCGGACAAGCUAUGAGCUUGUCCGGUGCCGGAGGGAAACCGUUAAGUCCGCCGCCUGGGGAGUACGGCCGCAAGGCUGAAACUUAAAGGAAUUGGCGGG
RNAcentral lists this ribosomal RNA (414 nucleotides) under uncultured microorganism. RNAcentral's name for it is "bacterial SSU rRNA". It matches the Rfam family "Archaeal small subunit ribosomal RNA", at positions 459 to 872 of the family's 1478-position model. The record is from RNAcentral.